UAUUAAUUUCACUUGCAUUUAAGGUGGGGCGACUUCGACUGAAUUAGAUGAAAUUCAAUGCCAAUUCAAAGGGUAUUUAAAUAUUCAAGUUAAGCACAAGAAAUGGUUUGGAAAGCGUUGGAAACGUCGAUUUGUUAUCAUAUCAGAAAGGUGUUUAAAUGUGUAUUCAAAACAGAAUGCAAAGAACUUAAAGCAGUCCUACCCUUUUAAAGAUUUUAAAAGAGUCACUGCACACGAAAACAAUAAUACAUUUAUGCUAACGUUCAGAGAGCCUGACAGACCGCCAAUUGUGUGUUUCUGUAAAUCCUCAUUCAAAAGAACGGUAU
Ruditapes philippinarum (Manila clam) is the source of this 326-nucleotide long non-coding RNA. RefSeq lists it as uncharacterized. The transcript is spliced from 3 exons. NCBI's taxonomy places the organism in Eukaryota, Metazoa, Mollusca, Bivalvia, Venerida, Veneridae. The record is from RefSeq and is a predicted model, not a curated record.